GUAUAGCACAAGUACUAAAAUUAGAAUGAUAUAGAUUAGCAAGGCUUCUGCACAAGCAUGACAUGCAAAUUUGUGAAGUGUUCCAUAUUUUU
Molecule: small nuclear RNA, 92 nt
Filed under: Canis lupus familiaris (dog)
Lineage: Eukaryota; Metazoa; Chordata; Mammalia; Carnivora; Canidae
Also listed under: 1 other name
Source: RNAcentral